RNAcentral lists this ribosomal RNA (186 nucleotides) under uncultured bacterium. RNAcentral describes it as "partial 16S ribosomal RNA". It matches the Rfam family "Bacterial small subunit ribosomal RNA", at positions 1316 to 1500 of the family's 1533-position model. The record is from RNAcentral.
CUACAUGAAGCUGGAAUCGCUAGUAAUCGCAGAUCAGAAUGCUGCGGUGAAUACGUUCCCGGGUCUUGUACACACCGCCCGUCACACCAUGGGAGUUGGAAAUGCCCGAAGCCAGUGACCCAACCGUAAGGAGGGAGCUGUCGAAGGUGGAGCCGAUAGACUGGGGUGAAGUCGUAACAAGGUAUC